RNAcentral lists this ribosomal RNA (534 nucleotides) under uncultured Megasphaera sp. RNAcentral's name for it is "bacterial SSU rRNA". It matches the Rfam family "Bacterial small subunit ribosomal RNA", at positions 29 to 525 of the family's 1533-position model. Lineage: Bacteria; Bacillati; Bacillota; Negativicutes; Veillonellales; Veillonellaceae. The record is from RNAcentral.
ACGAACGCUGGCGGCGUGCUUAACACAUGCAAAGUCGAACGAGAGGACAUGGGAGCUUGCUCCUAUGGAAUCGAGUGGCAAACGGGGUGAGUAACGCGUAAACAACCCUGCCCUUCGGAUGGGGAUAACAGCCGGAAACGGCUGCUAAUACCGAAUACGAUCUUUUCGUCGCAUGACGAAAAAAGAAGAAAAGGAUGGCCUCUAUACAAAGCUAUCGCCGAAGGAGGGGUUUUGCGUCUGAUUAGCUGGUUGGAGGGGUAACGGCCCAACAAGGCGAUGAUCAGUAGCCGGUCUGAGAGGAUGAACGGCCACAUUGGGACUGAGACACGGCCCAGACUCCUACGGGAGGCAGCAGUGGGGAAUCUUCCGCAAUGGACGAAAGUCUGACGGAGCAACGCCGCGUGAGUGAAGAAGGUCUUCGGAUUGUAAAGCUCUGUUAUACGGGACGAAAAAGACGGAUGCCAACAGUAUCCGUCCGUGACGGUACCGUAAGAGAAAGCCACGGCUAACUACGUGCCAGCAGCCGCGGUAAAU